AUCUUGCGCAAUGGGCGAAAGCCUGACGCAGCAACGCCGCGUGAACGAUGAAGGCCUUCGGUUUGUAAAGUUCAGUCAGGGGGGAAGAUAAUGACGGUACCCCCGGAUGAAGCCCCGGCUAACUACGUGCCAGCAGCCGCGGUAAUACGGAGGGGGCAAGCGUUGUCCGGAAUUACUGGGCGUAAAGGGCGUGUAGGCGGCCAAUCAAGUCAGGUGUGAAAUUCCAGGGCUCAACCCUGGACGUGCACUUGAAACUGGUUGGCUUGAGUGCAGGAGAGGAAAGUGGAAUUCCCAGUGUAGCGGUGAAAUGCGUAGAUAUUGGGAGGAACACCAGUGGCGAAGGCGACUUUCUGGCCUGUAACUGACGCUGAGGCGCGAAAGCUAGGGGAGCAAAC
Molecule: ribosomal RNA, 395 nt
Filed under: uncultured bacterium
Lineage: Bacteria
Description: partial 16S ribosomal RNA
Rfam family: Bacterial small subunit ribosomal RNA
Source: RNAcentral